AGAGUUUGAUCCUGGCUCAGAUUGAACGCUGGCGGAACGCUUUACACAUGCAAGUCGAACGGUAACGCGGAGAGAAGCUUGCUUCUCUCCGGCGACGAGUGGCGAACGGGUGAGUAAUACAUCGGAACGUGUCCGCUCGUGGGGGACAACCAGCCGAAAGGUUGGCUAAUACCGCAUGAGUUCUACGGAAGAAAGAGGGGGACCCGCAAGGGCCUCUCGCGAGCGGAGCGGCCGAUGACUGAUUAGCCGGUUGGUGAGGUAACGGCUCACCAAAGCAACGAUCAGUAGCUGGUCUGAGAGGACGACCAGCCACACUGGGACUGAGACACGGCCCAGACUCCUACGGGAGGCAGCAGUGGGGAAUUUUGGACAAUGGGCGCAAGCCUGAUCCAGCUAUUCCGCGUGUGGGAUGAAGGCCCUCGGGUUGUAAACCACUUUUGUAGAGAACGAAAAGACACCUUCGAAUAAAGGGUGUUGCUGACGGUACUCUAAGAAUAAGCACCGGCCAACUACGUGCCAGCAGCCGCGGUAAUACGU
Molecule: ribosomal RNA, 537 nt
Filed under: uncultured bacterium
Lineage: Bacteria
Description: bacterial SSU rRNA
Rfam family: Bacterial small subunit ribosomal RNA
Source: RNAcentral